AGUGAACGCUGGCGGUAGGCCUAACACAUGCAAGUCGAACGGCAGCACAGUAAGAGCUUGCUCUUACGGGUGGCGAGUGGCGGACGGGUGAGGAAUACAUCGGAAUCUACUUUUUCGUGGGGGAUAACGUAGGGAAACUUACUCUAAUACCGCAUACGACCUACGGGUGAAAGCAGGGGAUCUUCGGACCUUGCGCGAUUGAAUGAGCCGAUGUCGGAUUAGCUAGUUGGCGGGGUAAAGGCCCACCAAGGCGACGAUCCGUAGCUGGUCUGAGAGGAUGAUCAGCCACACUGGAACUGAGACACGGUCCAGACUCCUACGGGAGGCAGCAGUGGGGAAUAUUGGACAAUGGGCGCAAGCAUGAUCCAGCCAUACCGCGUGGGUGAAGAAGGCCUUCGGGUUGUAAAGACCUUUUGUUGGGAAAGAAAAGCAGCAGGUUAAUACCCCGCUGUUCUGACGGUACCCAAAGAAUAAGCACCGGCUAACUUCGUG
This 492-nucleotide ribosomal RNA is filed under the name uncultured bacterium. RNAcentral describes it as "partial 16S ribosomal RNA". It matches the Rfam family "Bacterial small subunit ribosomal RNA", at positions 29 to 507 of the family's 1533-position model. The record is from RNAcentral.